GGUUGAUCCUGCCGGAGGCCACUGCUAUUGGGGUUCGACUAAGCCAUGCGAGUCUAUGGACUUCGGUCCAUGGCGGACGGCUCAGUAACACGUGGCUAACCUACCCUCAGGUGGGGGAUAACCUCGGGAAACUGAGGGUAAUACCCCAUAGGGGAAGAGGUCUGGAAUGAUCCUUCCUUGAAAGGACAUCCGCCUGAGGAUGGGGCUGCGUCCGAUUAGGUAGUUGGUGGGGUAAUGGCCCGCCAAGCCUACGACCGGUACGGGCCUUGAGAGAGGAAGCCCGGAGAUGGGGACUGAGACACGGCCCCAGGCCCCACAGGGCGCAGCAGGCGCGAAACCUCCACAAUGCACGAAAGUGCGAUGGGGGAACCCCAAGUGCCUAUGCACAGCAUAGGCUUUUCCCAAGUGUAAACAGCUUGGGGAAUAAGGGCUGGGCAAGUCCGGUGCCAGCAGCCGCGGUAACACCGGCGGCCCGAGUGGUGGCCACUCUUAUUGGGCCUAAAGCGUCCGUAGCCGGUCCAGUAAGUCCCUGUUUAAAUCCUACGGCUCAACCGUAGGGCUGGCAGGGAUACUGCUGGACUUGGGACCGGGAGAGAACGAGGGUACUCCAGGGGUAGCG
RNAcentral lists this ribosomal RNA (619 nucleotides) under uncultured archaeon. RNAcentral's name for it is "bacterial SSU rRNA". It matches the Rfam family "Archaeal small subunit ribosomal RNA", at positions 6 to 631 of the family's 1478-position model. The record is from RNAcentral.